UAAACGACUCUCGGCAACGGAUAUCUCGGCUCAUGCAUCGAUGAAGAACGUAGCAAAAUGCGAUACUUGGUGUGAAUUGCAGAAUCCCGUGAACCAUCGAGUUUUUGAACGCAAGUUGCGCCCGAAGCCUUUUGGUUGAGGGCACGUCUGCCUGGGCGUCACAU
This 164-nucleotide ribosomal RNA is filed under the name Erechtites hieraciifolius. Its description in RNAcentral is "5.8S ribosomal RNA". It matches the Rfam family "5.8S ribosomal RNA". Rfam says of the family: 5.8S ribosomal RNA (5.8S rRNA) is a component of the large subunit of the eukaryotic ribosome. It is transcribed by RNA polymerase I as part of the 45S precursor that also contains 18S and 28S rRNA. The record is from RNAcentral. Lineage: Eukaryota; Viridiplantae; Streptophyta; Magnoliopsida; Asterales; Asteraceae.